CAUCGCCUCCUGCCCACUCAGCAUAGGAGGUCCCGCCUGCCCUGUGACCAAAAGUUUAACGGCCGCGGUAUUUUAACCGUGCAAAGGUAGCGCAAUCAAUUGUCUUUUAAAUGAAGACCUGUAUGAAUGGCAUAACGAGGGUUUAACUGUCUCUUUUUUCAGGUCAAUGAAACUGAUCUGUCCGUGCAGAAGCGGACAUAUUAACACAAGACGAGAAGACCCUAUGGAGCUUUAGACGCCCACCAACCGCGAAAAGCAGCCUACCUAAACAGAUGCUCUAAACAACGCGGUCCUGGUACAAACGUCUUCGGUUGGGGCGACCGCGGAGGAGAACAAAGCCUCCGAGAGGAAUGGGAACAAACCCUAAAACCAAGAGCCACAGCUCUAAGUCACAAAAAAUUUGACCGACAAUGAUCCGGCUUACUGCCGAUCAACGGACCAAGUUACCCUAGGGAUAACAGCGCAAUCCCCUCCCAGAGUCCAUAUCGACGAGGGGGUUUACGACCUCGAUGUUGGAUCAGGACAUCCUAAUGGUGCAGCCGCUAUUAAGGGUUCGUUUGUUCAACGAUUAAAGUCCUACGUG
RNAcentral lists this ribosomal RNA (583 nucleotides) under Sardinella aurita (round sardinella). Its description in RNAcentral is "partial 16S ribosomal RNA". It matches the Rfam family "Bacterial large subunit ribosomal RNA", at positions 1814 to 2602 of the family's 2925-position model. Lineage: Eukaryota; Metazoa; Chordata; Actinopteri; Clupeiformes; Clupeidae. The record is from RNAcentral.